GGUCAAGUUAUUAAGGGUGCAGGGCGGAUGCCUUGGCACUAGGAGCCGAUGAAGGACGUGAUAAGCUGCGAUAAGCUUCGGGGAGUUGCACGUAAACUUUGAUCCGAAGAUUUCCGAAUGAGGAAACUCACUUAGAGUAAUGUCUAAGUAUCAUUAAGUGAAUACAUAGCUUAAUGAGGGGAACUCAGGGAACUGAAACAUCUAAGUACCUGAAGGAAGAGAAAGAAAUUCGAUUCCGUAAGUAGCGGCGAGCGAACGCGGAUUAGCCCAAACCAAUAAAGUUUUCUUUAUUGGGGUUGCGGACAUAUCAUAACGAAGAGGUAUCGUAAUUGAAGAGGUUUGGAAAGACCCACCACAGAAGGUAAUAGUCCUGUAUGUUAAACGAGAAGACUUUAGAUAUGAUCCAGAGUACCACGGGACACGUGAAACCCUGUGGGAAGCAGGAGGGACCACCCUCCAAGGCUAAAUACUACCUAGUGACCGAUAGCGUAUAGUACCGUGAG
RNAcentral lists this ribosomal RNA (503 nucleotides) under Clostridioides difficile. Its description in RNAcentral is "partial 23S ribosomal RNA". It matches the Rfam family "Bacterial large subunit ribosomal RNA", at positions 1 to 507 of the family's 2925-position model. The record is from RNAcentral. Lineage: Bacteria; Bacillati; Bacillota; Clostridia; Peptostreptococcales; Peptostreptococcaceae.